RNAcentral lists this microRNA (22 nucleotides) under Gallus gallus (chicken). RNAcentral's name for it is "gga-miR-1745". The record is from miRBase by way of RNAcentral. Lineage: Eukaryota; Metazoa; Chordata; Aves; Galliformes; Phasianidae.
UGCUCUGCUUGGCAAACUGCUC